This 476-nucleotide ribosomal RNA is filed under the name uncultured bacterium. RNAcentral's name for it is "bacterial SSU rRNA". It matches the Rfam family "Bacterial small subunit ribosomal RNA", at positions 791 to 1260 of the family's 1533-position model. The record is from RNAcentral.
UAGUCCACGCCCUAAACGAUGUCAACUGGUUGCUGGGUGGUAAAACAUUAAGUAACGAAGCUAACGCGUGAAGUUGACCGCCUGGGAAGUACGGUCGCAAGAUUAAAACUCAAAGGAAUUGACGGGGACCCGCACAAGCGGUGGAUGAUGUGGAUUAAUUCGAUGCAACGCGAAAAAACCUUACCUACCCUUGACAUGCCACUAACGAAGUAGAGAUACAUUAGGUGCCCGAAAGGGAAAGUGGACACAGGUGCUGCAUGGCUGUCGUCAGCUCGUGUCGUGAGAUGUUGGGUUAAGUCCCGCAACGAGCGCAACCCUUGUCUUUAGUUGCCAUCAUUAAGUUGGGCACUCUAAAGAGGCUGCCGGUGACAAACCGGAGUAAGGUGGGGAUGACGUCAAGUCCUCAUGGGCCCUUAUGGGGUAGGGGCUUCACACGUCAUACAAUGGGUCGAUACAGAGGGGUUGCCAAGCCGCGA